UACGGAGGGUGCAAGCGUUAUCCGGAUUCACUGGGUUUAAAGGGUGCGUAGGCGGGCAGGUAAGUCAGUGGUGAAAUCUCCGGGCUUAACCCGGAAACUGCCGUUGAUACUAUCUGUCUUGAAUAUCGUGGAGGUAAGCGGAAUAUGUCAUGUAGCGGUGAAAUGCUUAGAUAUGACAUAGAACACCCAUUGCGAAGGCAGCUUACUACACGAUCAUUGACGCUGAGGCACGAAAGCGUGGGAGCAAACAGG
RNAcentral lists this ribosomal RNA (252 nucleotides) under uncultured bacterium. RNAcentral's name for it is "partial 16S ribosomal RNA". It matches the Rfam family "Bacterial small subunit ribosomal RNA", at positions 524 to 776 of the family's 1533-position model. The record is from RNAcentral.